AUGCAGGAAACAACUAGAAACCUCUUGAUGAUCAUAAUGGUAACAUGCACAUCAUGUGAAUCAUUUUCUUCAUAUGAGCAUCGUCGUAGAAGCUUACAAGCCACCACACUCGCUGCCAUUUUUCUUCUUCGAUCAUCGCUUUCCCUUCGUCUCCUUCAUCUCAAUCCCGUUUUGAUUCAACUCGUCUUCUCCAAUUUUCUUCCGUUUUUGUUUCACGCAUCUCUACCGUUAUCAAUCGUUCCUCUGGUUGCAAGCCGCCAAUAUUGUUGCACCGGUCUUAACAACGUGAUUACUAACCUCUGA
Vicia faba (fava bean) is the source of this 303-nucleotide non-coding RNA. The record is from the annotation of a GenBank genome assembly. Lineage: Eukaryota; Viridiplantae; Streptophyta; Magnoliopsida; Fabales; Fabaceae.